GAUGAACGCUGGCGGCGCGCUUAACACAUGCAAGUCGAACGGGAAAUAUUUCAUUGAGACUUCGGUGGAUUUGAUUUAUUUCUAGUGGCGGACGGGUGAGUAACGCGUGGGUAACCUGCCUUAUACAGGGGGAUAACAGUCAGAAAUGGCUGCUAAUACCGCAUAAGCGCACAGAGCUGCAUGGCUCCGUGCGAAAAGCUCCGGUGGUAUAAGAUGGACCCGCGUUGGAUUAGCUUGUUGGUGAGGUAACGGCCCACCAAGGCGACGAUCCAUAGCCGGCCUGAGAGGGUGAACGGCCACAUUGGGACUGAGACACGGCCCAGACUCCUACGGGAGGCAGCAGUGGGGAAUAUUGCACAAUGGGGGAAACCCUGAUGCAGCGACGCCGCGUGAAGGAAGAAGUAUCUCGGUAUGUAAACUUCUAUCAGCAGGGAAGAUAGUGACGGUACCUGACUAAGAAGCCCCGGCUAACUACGUGCCAGCAGCCGCGGUAA
RNAcentral lists this ribosomal RNA (494 nucleotides) under uncultured bacterium. RNAcentral's name for it is "partial 16S ribosomal RNA". It matches the Rfam family "Bacterial small subunit ribosomal RNA", at positions 28 to 523 of the family's 1533-position model. The record is from RNAcentral.